This is a long non-coding RNA of Gallus gallus (chicken), 2127 nucleotides long. The record is from Ensembl. Lineage: Eukaryota; Metazoa; Chordata; Aves; Galliformes; Phasianidae.
GAAGGAAGGAAGGAAGGAAGGAAGGAUUGUCCAGCAUAAAGGCCACAGUACACAGAAUGGAGGAAAUAACAUAGUAUUUAAAAGAAAGAAAGAAGGGCAAGGGUAGAAAAGAAGUCUUGAUGCCUAAGGACACAUUUGGAAGUACCUGUACAAAGCCUCACACUACUCCACAUUACUCCAAAGAGCAAAGAUGUGAAAAAGUCUUCCAUGCAGUACUCACUAGUAACACUCUUGGUUACUUUUAUGAAAUCACCUCUGUUUCAAAUGUUCACAUGUGCUUGGGUGAAAUUCCUGACUUGUCUAAGGAUUCACACCAAACAGGCUUCAUAUCUUAUUAUCUACCUACAGGCAAUAACACCAAUUCUCACUUUUGAUCCUCCUCACUGUCCAGUUCCAAAAUCACUGACUUAGCUUGUGGAACUUGAAAAGUAACUCAGUCCUUGCCCUGACAAGAAACAGCCACCUCAACACACCUCAAGAUCUCCCGAGACAGGUCUGGAGUUAGGAAGGUGACAUUAUCCCCAGCAGAGCCCUGAGCCAGUGACUCAUCAUGGAACAGCUGAGCAGUUCCCACACCCAUCUUUGACCAACAGAGUUUUAUCCAGACAUCUAAAUUGCAAACUACAUUGCUCUGAACUUCUGCCUGUCAGAGAAAAAAAAAAAAAAAAAAAAAAAAAGAAGAAGAAAACAGAUUUGUGCUGAUCUUGCAUGAGUCUUUGCUAGAUUUCCUGUACAGACUCACAAAGAGGAAACAAAAUUGGAGAGUGAAGUGAAAAAGAAAAACUUGCAGCCCUCUAAAAUUCAUGGCCAAAAAGCUGAAGAAUGUUCUCUCCUCUACUGCUACCAGGCAUUCAGAAAGAGAGGCAAACCAGAAAGCUGAAUGCCUGAGUGAUCCCAUGACUACAAUAAUAGUAAUAAUUAACAAUAAGUAAUUGCCAGUUGUAUUGCCCUUCUCAUUGCAGAGUUCAUGAUGUCUUGCUUGUAAAUGUUUUGAGUUAAUGAUAAGAUUUCUGUUGACUGUUUAACACAGACAUGUGCUCGAGUUAAGAGAAGAGAGUUACAGAAUUUAUAACUAAAAGAUCCUGCGGGAUUUCAGACAUCUGAUUCCCCAGAAAUCUCAUGUAGGGAUUCAAUCUCCAUCUUUCAGGCAAAUCAUUGAUCUCUUGGCAGCUUGGGCACCUGCCUCAGGCAUGAUGUGUGGAUCAUGCAUGAGGAGAGGCUGGGUGCUCUUUCAGCAGUGCAUGCGCUUUGGUGUAGGCUUCACCUGUGUGUCUGCAAAGGGAGUAGUUAAACUGCUGUAAUCAACACAGUUACAGCAUGCUAUGUACUGCACAUGGUCUUACAUGCAUGGAUGAAAGGCUGUGACAGGAAAAAACAGUUACUGAAGGAGGAAAUGUCCCCUAAAUACUGAGAAGAAUUAUAUCCAGGUUGUCUGCUUUCUCACUUUAUGGUGAUCUCAGUGUUACCUGUCUUACAUGUGGGAUGUUUCCCCCGUUGUCUCCAGAUUUUGAAGUGUAUUUUCAUCUAUGAUUAACAUUUUAUGAACAUAUCAGUCAGAUGUCAUUUCUUUUCAGCAAUAAUAUAAUCCAUAAGUGCACACUUUUAUAGGAACAUCACAAGGUCUUAAAGUAGGAGUAAUCUCUAAUUGUAUGGAACAGCAGAACUUACAGGGAAAUAGGUAAAAAGCUCCCACCAUUUUAGCUUCUAUCCUUUCCAGACUGUAGAUUUCCAUGAAUUAUGAAAAAGACUAGAAAAAUCAUCAGGUUUCAUGUUCUGAUGCAUGAGGUUCAUUGUGGCUUAUUAAAAGAAAAAAAAAAUUGCAUAUCAAAUUAUAGAAGCUUUCCUUGUGAAAAUCUUUAUAUCUAAAGAUGUAAUAAAUAUGCAGUGUAUAACAAAUGAGUGCAUUUUAUUUCUGCUUGUGAUGCACAUUGCAUUCCCAUAUAAAAGUUAGAGGUUUUCCAGCCAAAUACUGACCUAACCAAUGUCUGCUGUAUUUUUAUGCUGUGAUAAUAGUAAAAAAAAAUGUGAUGGUCACUGUUACUUAAACACUAAGACAGUAUGCAGUCCUUUAAGGAAUGAUUCUCAAAAUCCUCCAGAACUCAAGUCACCGUGUUUUUUAAAGCUGAU